GGAUUAGAUACCCUGGUAGUCCAUGCCGUAAACGUUGGGCACUAGAUGUGGGGGACAUUCCACGUUUUCCGCGUCGUAGCUAACGCAUUAAGUGCCCCGCCUGGGGAGUACGGCCGCAAGGCUAAAACUCAAAGGAAUUGACGGGGGCCCGCACAAGCGGCGGAGCAUGCUGAUUAAUUCGAUGCAACGCGAAGAACCUUACCAAGGCUUGACAUGCACCGGGCGACUGCAGAGAUGUGGUUUUCUUCGGACUGGUGCACAGGUGGUGCAUGGUUGUCGUCAGCUCGUGCCG
RNAcentral lists this ribosomal RNA (292 nucleotides) under uncultured bacterium. RNAcentral describes it as "partial 16S ribosomal RNA". It matches the Rfam family "Bacterial small subunit ribosomal RNA", at positions 775 to 1067 of the family's 1533-position model. The record is from RNAcentral.